This 460-nucleotide ribosomal RNA is filed under the name uncultured bacterium. Its description in RNAcentral is "partial 16S ribosomal RNA". It matches the Rfam family "Bacterial small subunit ribosomal RNA", at positions 338 to 795 of the family's 1533-position model. The record is from RNAcentral.
ACUACGGGAGGCAGCAGUGAGGAAUAUUGGUCAAUGGGCGGAAGCCUGAACCAGCCAAGUAGCGUGCAGGAUGACGGCCCUACGGGUUGUAAACUGCUUUUAUACGGGAAUAACGCGCCUUACGUGUAGGGCUUUGCAUGUACCGUAUGAAUAAGGACCGGCUAAUUCCGUGCCAGCAGCCGCGGUAAUACGGAAGGUCCGGGCGUAAUCCGGAUUUAUUGGGUUUAAAGGGAGCGUAGGACGCAUUGCCAGCGUGCUGUGAAAUGUCCGGGCUCAACCCGGGCCUUGCAGCGCGUACUGGCGUGCUUGAGUCCGCGGAAGGCAGGCGGAAUUCGUCGUGUAGCGGUGAAAUGCUUAGAUAUGACGAAGAACCCCGAUUGCGAAGGCAGCUUGCUGCAGCGGAACUGACGCUGAUGCUCGAAAGCGCGGGUAUCGAACAGGAUUAGAUACCCUGGUAGUC